UUCUCUCUGGAGGUAGAUAGCAUUUUUCUUUUUUCCCCCUUAAACCCUUACCUUCUGAAUUCGAAUUGUAGGAAAGGAUUUCUAGCAGGGCACAGCAAUGCAGGCUGGCAGCUUGCAAGACCAAGAUUCCACAGACUUGGCUGGGUUGGGAUUCUGAGGCAGUUAGAAAUCUCUCUCUCCCUGAAGCUAGUCAGACUCGAAGGUGUGCCUAGUGGUCUCUCUAUAGAACCAAUUGAGGAGCUGCCAAGGACUUGGAUUUUCAAAAGGCUGAGGCUGUCACAGAAUACCAUCGUCUCCACCAGACUGCUAUUAAACAACACCCAAAGAGCUAUGGAGAGGGGUAUGGUGGGAGUGAGCCAACUACAACACAUUCUAAAUAAGGAAUUAAGCCAGGAGAAGGUAUAUAAAGGAUCAUGCAUUUGGGUCUGGAAGGGAUCUUUGAAAUCACUCAAGUCUUUCAUUUUACAAAUGAGGUAACUGAGGGACAACAUGAUAUAGCAGACUGAGAGCUGGGCUUUGGGUCAGAAAGGCCUGAGUUUGAAUUCUACCUCCAAUACUAAUAUUGGACAAAUCACUUGAUCUCAAUCUCCUCAUCCAUAAAAUGGGAACAUAGCCAAUUAUAGUGAGUAGCUAUUUCCCUGGGUCAUAAAGGACAGAAUGCAUUAAAGUGCUUUGUAGAUCUUUAAAUGAUGGAUAAAUAUCAGUUAUUAUUAUUGCCCAAAGUCACACAGUUGGCAGAGCAGAGACUUGAAGCUAAAGCUCUUGAUUCCCCCCACAGACAGGGGCUCUACCUACCAGGCCACACUGUCCCUCACUACAUUGCAGGAACAUGUUCCAUACUUAGAGACACUCAAGUCAUGAUAAUAAUAAUAAUAGCUAACAUUUAUAUCAUGCAUAGUAUGUACCAGGUCUAAGUGCUUCACAGUUUUCUUGUUUGCUUCCCUAAACAACACCAGAAGGUAGAGCUAUCAUUAUUCUUAUUUUACAGAUGAGGAAAUUGAGGCAAACAGAGGUUAAAUGGCUUCUCCUAGGUCAGACAGCUUGUGAGUAUCUGAGGCUGGAUAGAACUUGGGUCUUCCUAGCUUUAGACCGGUAGCUCUGGCGACGUUAUUGAUUAUUGGUAGAAAGAUAGCAGUAUUUUAGUAUUUUUAGGAAGAGGGUUGGUUGGAAAGAAGGUUGGAAGGAUGGAAGGAAGGAUGGAAGGAAGGAAGGAAGGAAGGAAGGAAGGAAGGAAGGAAGGAAGGAAGGAAGGAAGGAAGGAAGGAAGGAAGUAAGUAAGGAAGGAAGGAAGGAAGGAAGGAAGGAGAAGGGACAAGUUAUGUGGCUCAGUAGAUUGAGAGUCAUAGGCCUAGAGAUGAGAGGUCUUGGGCUCAAGUUUGACUUUAGACCCUUCC
This 1394-nucleotide long non-coding RNA is filed under the name Monodelphis domestica (gray short-tailed opossum). RNAcentral describes it as "lncRNA (ENSMODG00000039902.1)". Lineage: Eukaryota; Metazoa; Chordata; Mammalia; Didelphimorphia; Didelphidae. The record is from RNAcentral.